GGGGAAUAUUGCACAAUGGGCGCAAGCCUGAUGCAGCCAUGCCGCGUGUGUGAAGAAGGCCUUCGGGUUGUAAAGCACUUUCAGCGGGGAGGAAGGCGAUAAGGUUAAUAACCUUGUCGAUUGACGUUACCCGCAGAAGAAGCACCGGCUAACUCCGUGCCAGCAGCCGCGGUAAUACGGAGGGUGCAAGCGUUAAUCGGAAUUACUGGGCGUAAAGCGCACGCAGGCGGUCUGUCAAGUCGGAUGUGAAAUCCCCGGGCUCAACCUGGGAACUGCAUUCGAAACUGGCAGGCUAGAGUCUUGUAGAGGGGGGUAGAAUUCCAGGUGUAGCGGUGAAAUGCGUAGAGAUCUGGAGGAAUACCGGUGGCGAAGGCGGCCCCCUGGACAAAGACUGACGCUGAGGCACGAAAGCAUGGGUAGCAAAC
Molecule: ribosomal RNA, 425 nt
Filed under: uncultured bacterium
Lineage: Bacteria
Description: bacterial SSU rRNA
Rfam family: Bacterial small subunit ribosomal RNA
Source: RNAcentral